Molecule: ribosomal RNA, 439 nt
Filed under: uncultured bacterium
Lineage: Bacteria
Description: partial 16S ribosomal RNA
Rfam family: Bacterial small subunit ribosomal RNA
Source: RNAcentral
CUACGGGGGGCUGCAGUGAGGAAUAUUGCACAAUGGGGGGAACCCUGAUGCAGCAACGCCGCGUGGAGGAUGACGCAUUUCGGUGUGUAAACUCCUUUUAUAUGUCAAGAAAAUGACGGUAGCAUAUGAAUAAGCGCCGGCUAACUCCGUGCCAGCAGCCGCGGUAAUACGGAGGGCGCAAGCGUUACUCGGAAUCACUGGGCGUAAAGGGCGCGUAGGCGGGUUGAAAAGUCAGGUGUGAAAGCCUACAGCUUAACUGUAGAACUGCACUUGAAACUCUCAAUCUAGAGUAUGGGAGGGGCAGAUGGAAUUAGUGGUGUAGGGGUAAAAUCCGUAGAUAUCACUAGGAAUACCUAAAGCGAAGGCGAUCUGCUGGAACAUUACUGACGCUAAGGCGUGAAAGCGUGGGGAGCAAACAGGAUUAGAUACCCUGGUAGUC